RNAcentral lists this transfer RNA (72 nucleotides) under Stegodyphus mimosarum. It matches the Rfam family "tRNA". Rfam says of the family: Transfer RNA (tRNA) molecules are approximately 80 nucleotides in length. Their secondary structure includes four short double-helical elements and three loops (D, anti-codon, and T loops). Further hydrogen bonds mediate the characteristic L-shaped molecular structure. tRNAs have two regions of fundamental functional importance: the anti-codon, which is responsible for specific mRNA codon recognition, and the 3' end, to which the tRNAs corresponding amino acid is attached (by aminoacyl-tRNA synthetases). tRNAs cope with the degeneracy of the genetic code in two manners: having more than one tRNA (with a specific anti-codon) for a particular amino acid; and 'wobble' base-pairing, i.e. permitting non-standard base-pairing at the 3rd anti-codon position. The record is from Rfam by way of RNAcentral. Lineage: Eukaryota; Metazoa; Arthropoda; Arachnida; Araneae; Eresidae.
GCCUUCGUGGUGUAACGGUUAGCACACUCGGCGCGUAUUCUAGAGGUCCAGGUUCGAGUCCUGGCGAAGGCA